This 328-nucleotide long non-coding RNA is filed under the name Elaeis guineensis (African oil palm). RNAcentral's name for it is "long non-coding RNA (EGUI_LNC003480)". Lineage: Eukaryota; Viridiplantae; Streptophyta; Magnoliopsida; Arecales; Arecaceae. The record is from RNAcentral.
AUCAGCAUUGGAAUUUAUCGAAUCCCAAAUUCUUGCAAUCCUAAUCUUUAUUUUUCAAUUUUGUUUUUCCAAUGAUAGAUCCAAGAGCAUAUUGUAUUCCAUUAUUUCGAUCACUCUGCACGAACAAAUUUUUAAAAAAAAAGUGAUGUACGGGGUUACAAUACAUAUGGUUAUAUGAUCAUAUAAGUAUAUAACAAUUUUUUAAAUGAUGAAGCACCUUGAGGCAAGUCCGAAAAAAUUUUCUUGAAGACUAUAUUCUUUGUAUAAUUUUCAUAUCCUUUAUGAUUAUUUUUUAUCAAAAUCUUCAAACCGUUGCAUGAGAUAACAC